UCCUCCCUCUUUCUUCGUGCUUAACACAUGCAAGUCGAACGGAAAGGCCCUGCUUGCAGGGUACUCGAGUGGCGAACGGGUGAGUAACACGUGGGUGAUCUGCCCUGCACUUCGGGAUAAGCCUGGGAAACUGGGUCUAAUACCGGAUAGGAGCCAUUUUUAGUGUGAUGGUUGGAAAGUUUUUUCGGUGUAGGAUGAGCUCGCGGCCUAUCAGCUUGUUGGUGGGGUAAUGGCCUACCAAGGCGGCGACGGGUAGCCGGCCUGAGAGGGUGGACGGCCACAUUGGGACUGAGAUACGGCCCAGACUCCUACGGGAGGCAGCAGUGGGGAAUAUUGCACAAUGGGCGCAAGCCUGAUGCAGCGACGCCGCGUGGGGGAUGACGGCCUUCGGGUUGUAAACUCCUUUCGCUAGGGACGAAGCUUUUUGUGACGGUACCUAGAGAAGAAGCACCGGCUAACUACGUG
This 465-nucleotide ribosomal RNA is filed under the name uncultured bacterium. RNAcentral describes it as "partial 16S ribosomal RNA". It matches the Rfam family "Bacterial small subunit ribosomal RNA", at positions 36 to 507 of the family's 1533-position model. The record is from RNAcentral.